CUAACAAGGAUUCCCCUAGUAACGGCGAGUGAAGCGGGAAGAGCUCAAGCUUAAAAUCUCCGUGCAAGUUUUGCGCGGCGAAUUGUAGUCUAUAGAGGCGUGGUCAGCGUGGGCGCUUGGGGCAAGUUCCUUGGAAGAGGACAGCAUGGAGGGUGAUACUCCCGUUCAUCCCUGAGUGGCUCGUGCGUACGACCCGUGUUCUUUGAGUCGCGUUGUUUGGGAAUGCAGCGCAAAGUAGGUGGUAAAUUCCAUCUAAAGCUAAAUAUUGGUGCGAGACCGAUAGCGAACAAGUACCGUGAGGGAAAGAUGAAAAGAACUUUGAAAAGAGAGUUAAAGAGUACCUGAAACUGCUGAAAGGGAACCGAAUCGUUUCCAGUGUCUAUAAUCCGUGGCAUAUUUCAUUGGCGAGUGUGUGCGCGCGUGCGCUGUGGCAGCGGCUUUUUUGGCUGCGCUCGGUGCGUGUGUUGUGUGUGCUUGCUGGUGCCCUGUGCUGCGGUGGGACGUCAAGGUCAGUUCGUAUGCUGCGGGAAAUGGCUGCCGAGGAGGUAGGGCUUACGCUCUGCGUUUGUCUAUUAUAUCUUGGUGGACGAGUCGUCGCGGUUGGGACUGAGGUGCCUACAACGUGCUUUUGAGUGGGUGUGUGUCUCCGUGUGCGCCGUGUGCGGAUAGCUUGCUAUGCGUGUGUGGUUGUGUGUGGAUUGAUGCGUGCCUUAACUUGUCGCCGUUCGGGACGUUGACGAAAUGGAGCGAUCCGACCCGUCUUGAAACACGGACCAAGGAGUCUAACAUGUGUGCAAGUGUUAGGGUGUGGAAACCCCAGCGCGAAAUGAAAGUGAAGGGCAGCGCAAGUUGUCUGAGGUAGGAAACGUUGCGGGCUUCGGUCUGCGGCGUGG
RNAcentral lists this ribosomal RNA (893 nucleotides) under Phytophthora x stagnum. Its description in RNAcentral is "partial large subunit ribosomal RNA". It matches the Rfam family "Eukaryotic large subunit ribosomal RNA", at positions 65 to 786 of the family's 3401-position model. Lineage: Eukaryota; Oomycota; Peronosporomycetes; Peronosporales; Peronosporaceae. The record is from RNAcentral.